UUUAGAGUUUGNAUCCUGGCUCAGGACGAACGCUGGCGGCGUGCUUAACACAUGCAAGUCGAACGAUGAAGCCNUUCGGGGUGGAUUAGUGGCGAACGGGUGAGUAACACGUGGGCAAUCUGCCCUUCACUCUGGGACAAGCCCUGGAAACGGGGUCUAAUACCGGAUAACACUCUGUCCCGCAUGGGACGGGGUUAAAAGCUCCGGCGGUGAAGGAUGAGCCCGCGGCCUAUCAGCUUGUUGGUGGGGUGAUGGCCUACCAAGGCGACGACGGGUAGCCGGCCUGAGAGGGCGACCGGCCACACUGGGACUGAGACACGGCCCAGACUCCUACGGGAGGCAGCAGUGGGGAAUAUUGCACAAUGGGCGAAAGCCUGAUGCAGCGACGCCGCGUGAGGGAUGACGGCCUUCGGGUUGUAAACCUCUUUCAGCAGGAAGAAGCGAAAGGAC
Molecule: ribosomal RNA, 450 nt
Filed under: Streptomyces sp. 2BC4
Lineage: Bacteria; Bacillati; Actinomycetota; Actinomycetes; Kitasatosporales; Streptomycetaceae
Description: bacterial SSU rRNA
Rfam family: Bacterial small subunit ribosomal RNA
Source: RNAcentral